AGGCCGGUGCGGUGGUUGCCGUUGAAGCCGAGGUCCUCGAUCGCGCAGUAGCGCCGGUGCGAGGCCCCGCUCGGGUCGGGGCCCGUCCC
RNAcentral lists this transfer RNA (89 nucleotides) under Kitasatospora indigofera. RNAcentral's name for it is "tRNA-Leu". Lineage: Bacteria; Bacillati; Actinomycetota; Actinomycetes; Kitasatosporales; Streptomycetaceae. The record is from RNAcentral.